Molecule: ribosomal RNA, 451 nt
Filed under: uncultured bacterium
Lineage: Bacteria
Description: bacterial SSU rRNA
Rfam family: Bacterial small subunit ribosomal RNA
Source: RNAcentral
GCUAGGAAUAUUCCGCAAUGGACGAAAGUCUGACGGAGCGACGCCGCGUGGAUGAUGAAGGCCUUCGGGUUGUAAAAUCCUUUCGUGCGGGAAGAUUUUUUGUUGGGUAAAUAAUCCAACGGAUCGACUGUACCGCAGGAAGAAGCCCCGGCUAAUUACGUGCCAGCAGCCGCGGUAAUACGUAUGGGGCGAGCGUUAUUCGGAUUUAUUGGGCGUAAAGCGUAUGUCGGGGGCUUGUUAAGUCGAGGGUGAAAUUUUCUUGCUCAACAUGAAAAUUGCUUUCGAAACUGGCAAGCUAGAGUUUUGGAGAGGAGAUUGGAAUUCCAGGUGUAGGGGUGAAAUCUGUAGAUAUCUGGAAGAACACCAGUGGCGAAGGCGAAUCUCUGGCCAAAAACUGACCCUUAGAUACGAAAGCCAGGGGAGCAAACGGGAUUAGAAACCCGGGUAGUCC